UACGUAGGGGGCAAGCGUUGUCCGGAUUCAUUGGGCGUAAAGGGCGUGUAGGCGGGAAGGAAAGUCAGAUGUGAAAUCCCUGGGCUCAACCCAGGAACUGCAUUUGAAACUCCCUUUCUUGAGUGUCGGAGAGGAAAGUGGAAUUCCUGGUGUAGAGGUGAAAUUCGUAGAUAUCAGGAGGAACACCGGUGGCGAAGGCGGCUUUCUGGACGACAACUGACGCUGAGACGCGAAAGCGUGGGGAGCAAACAGG
Molecule: ribosomal RNA, 253 nt
Filed under: uncultured bacterium
Lineage: Bacteria
Description: partial 16S ribosomal RNA
Rfam family: Bacterial small subunit ribosomal RNA
Source: RNAcentral